GUCAGGACUCUGACUGGGCCACUCCAGAAGGUCAGGACUCUGACUGGGCCACUCCAGAAGGUCAGGACUGACUGGGCCACUCCAGAAGGUCAGGACUGACUGGGCCACUCCAGAAGGUCAGGACUCUGACUGGUCCACCCCAGAAGGUCAGGACUCUGACUGGGCCACUCCAGAAGGUCAGGACUCUGACUGGGCCACUCCAGAAGGUCAGGACUCUGACUGGGCCACUCCAGAAGGUCAGGACUCUGACUGGACCACUCCAGAAGGUCAGGACUGACUGGGCCACUCCAGAAGGUCAGGACUCUGACUGGGCAACUCCAGAAGGUCAGGACUCUGACUGGGCCACUCCAGAAGGUCAGGACUCUGACUGGGCCACUCCAGAAUGUCAGGACUCUGACUGGACCACUCCAGAAGGUCAGGACUGACUGGGCCACUCCAGAAGGUCAGGACUCUGACUGGGCCACUCCAGAAGGUCAGGACUCUGACUGGGCCACUCCAGAAUGUCAGGACUCUGACUGGACCACUCCAGAAGGUCAGGACUGACUGGGCCACUCCAGAAGGUCAGGACUGACUGGGCCACUCCAGAAGGUCAGGACUGACUGGGCCACUCCAGAAGGCGUAUUUUUUUCUGUUCAAGCCAUUCUGUUGUUGAUUUACCUUUGUAUUUUGGGUAGUUGUCCUGUUGCAUCACCGAACUUCUGUUGAGCUUCAAUUUGCCGACAGACUCAUUCUACUGCAAAAUGUCUUGAUAAACUUGGGAAUACAUUUUUCCGUCGAUGAUAGCAAGCUGUCUAGGCCCUGAGACAGCAUAGCAGUCCCAAACCAUGAUGCUCCCUCCACCAUACUUUACAGUUGGGAUGAGGUAAUUGAUGUUGGUGUGCUGUGCCUUUUUAUCUCCACACAUAGUGUUGUGUGUUCCUUCCAAACAACACAACUUUAGUUUAAUCCGUCCACAGAAUAUUUUGCCAGUAGCGCUGUGGAAUAUCCAGGUGCUCUUUUGAAAACAUCAGACGUGCAGAAAUAUUUUUUGGGGACAGCAGUGGCUUCUUCCAUGGUGUCCUCCCAUGAACACCAUUCUUGUUUAGUGUUUUACGUAUUUUAGACUCGUCAACAGAGAUGUUAGCGUCUUCCAGAGAUUUCUGUAAGUCUUUAGCUGACACUCUAGGAUUCUUCUUAACCUCAUUGAGCAUUCUGCGCUGUGUACUUGCAGUCAUCUUUGCAGGACGGCCACUCUUAGGGAGAGUAGCAAUAGUGCUGAAAUUUCUCAAUUUAUAGACAAUUUGUCUUACUAUGGACUGACUUUUAGAGAUACUUUUGCAACCCUUUCCAGCUUCUGACAUUUUUUGUUCAAGGCAUGGUUCACAUCAGGCAAUGCUUCUUGUGAAUAGCAAACUCAAAUUUUGUGAGUGUUUUUUAUGGGGCAGGGCAGCCCAAAUGAAUAUCUCCAAUCUCGUCUCAUUGACUCGACUCCAGGUUAGUUGACUGCUGACUACAAUUAGUUUUUGGAGAAGUCAUUAGCCUAGGGGUUCACAUACUUUUUCCAACCUACACUGUGAAUGUUUAAAUGAUGUAUUCAAUAUGGACGAGACAAAUACAAAAAUGUGUGUGUUAGAGUGUUGGACUAGUAACCAGAAGGUUGCAAGUUCAAAUCGCUGAGCUGACAAGGUACAAAUCUGUCGUUCUGCCCCUGAACAGGCAGUUAACCCACUGUUCCUAGGCCGUCAUUGAAAAUAAGAAUUUGUUCUUAACUGACUUGCCUAGUAAAAUAAAGGAAAACAAUAAAUAAAAUAAGCACACUGUGUUUGUCUAUUGUUGUGACUUAGAUGAAGAUCAGAUCAAAUUUUAUGUUACAUUUAUGCAGAAAUCCAGGUAUUUCCAAAGGGAUCACCUACUUUUUCUUGCCACUAUAUAUAAAAUGGAUGUAUUCGUUAGCAACGAGUGGAGGACAGA
Oncorhynchus tshawytscha (Chinook salmon) is the source of this 1950-nucleotide long non-coding RNA. Lineage: Eukaryota; Metazoa; Chordata; Actinopteri; Salmoniformes; Salmonidae. The record is from Ensembl.